Molecule: ribosomal RNA, 486 nt
Filed under: uncultured bacterium
Lineage: Bacteria
Description: partial 16S ribosomal RNA
Rfam family: Bacterial small subunit ribosomal RNA
Source: RNAcentral
AUUGAACGCUGGCGGCAUGCCUUACACAUGCAAGUCGAACGGCAGCACGGGUGCUUGCCCCUGGUGGCGAGUGGCGAACGGGUGAGUAAUACAUCGGAACAUGUCCUGUAGGGGGGGGUAGCCCGGCGAAAGCCGGAUUAAUACCGCCUACGAUCUACGGGUGAAAGCGGGGGACCUUCGGGCCUCGCGCUAUAGGGUUGGCCGAUGGCUGAUUAGCUAGUUGGUGGGGUAAAGGCCUACCAAGGCGACGAUCAGUAGCUGGUCUGAGAGGACGACCAGCCACACUGGGACUGAGACACGGCCCAGACUCCUACGGGAGGCAGCAGUGGGGAAUUUUGGACAAUGGGCGAAAGCCUGAUCCAGCAAUGCCGCGUGUGUGAAGAAGGCCUUCGGGUUGUAAAGCACUUUUGUCCGGAAAGAAAUCCUUGGCCCUAAUACGGUCGGGGGAUGACGGUACCGGAAGAAUAAGCACCGGCUAACUACGUG